RNAcentral lists this ribosomal RNA (750 nucleotides) under Bacillus licheniformis. Its description in RNAcentral is "bacterial SSU rRNA". It matches the Rfam family "Bacterial small subunit ribosomal RNA", at positions 47 to 772 of the family's 1533-position model. Lineage: Bacteria; Bacillati; Bacillota; Bacilli; Caryophanales; Bacillaceae. The record is from RNAcentral.
CUCCAACAUCUAUCUGCAGUCGAGCGGACCGACGGGAGCUUGCUCCCUUAGGUCAGCGGCGGACGGGUGAGUAACACGUGGGUAACCUGCCUGUAAGACUGGGAUAACUCCGGGAAACCGGGGCUAAUACCGGAUGCUUGAUUGAACCGCAUGGUUCAAUCAUAAAAGGUGGCUUUUAGCUACCACUUACAGAUGGACCCGCGGCGCAUUAACUAGUUGGUGAGGUAACGGCUCACCAAGGCGACGAUGCGUAACCGACCUGAGAGGGUGAUCGGCCACACUGGGACUGAAACACGGCCCAGACUCCUACGGGAGGCAGCAGUAGGGAAUCUUCCGCAAUGGACGAAAGUCUGACGGAACAACGCCGCGUGAGUGAUGAAGGUUUUCGGAUCGUAAAACUCUGUUGUUAGGGAAGAACAAGUACCGUUCGAAUAGGGCGGUACCUUGACGGUACCUAACCAGAAAGCCACGGCUAACUACGUGCCAGCAGCCGCGGUAAUACGUAGGUGGCAAGCGUUGUCCGGAAUUAUUGGGCGUAAAGCGCGCGCAGGCGGUUUCUUAAGUCUGAUGUGAAAGCCCCCGGCUCAACCGGGGAGGGUCAUUGGAAACUGGGGAACUUGAGUGCAGAAGAGGAGAGUGGAAUUCCACGUGUAGCGGUGAAAUGCGUAAGAUGUGGAGGAACACCAGUGGCGAAGGCGACUCUUCUGGUCUGUAACUGACGCUUGAGGCGCGAAAGCCGUGGGGAGCGAA